UUUUCUUAAAUUUAAAAUUAAAAUAAGUGUUGGCAGCUUCAUACAUUUGUGUAUUAUUCUCCCUAAGAUAUGAUUUGUGGAGAGAGAACUACUCUUGAGUGCAGUAAGUGAGAAGAUAUGAACGAAUUCUAGAGUUAAUUGAAAUAAGUUAUACAUAACUAUUCUAGUGUUUAUAUCCAUGCUUUUGAUUGAUGAUUAAAAAGGAGUUUAUCUGGUGGGGGUGGGAGCUACGAACAAUUUGCUGCUUUCAGUUUACAACUGAAUCAAUGUUGUAAAUAGAGAAAAUUAAAUAGAAGAAAAGCAUAGCUUAACGAAAAGCUUUUGAAGAUGCAUAUACUCACAAUCAUGUUCUUACAUACUUUUGGUUGUUGUGCUUGCAAGAAGGACAUACAAAAUUGGAGGUUGUGAUUUGAGCAGCACUGCUCCUCCUUGUACCAGGUAGAUUGAAAUGAUGGCUCAUGUUUUCUCAAGAGCUGCAUGGCAUUGCAUGUGGUAUAUGAUCCAAGUGGAUUGAAAUGAUGGCUCCCGGAUUAGUAAUAUGUAAUUCUAGGAUGGUAGCUUGCUUAGAAUCUUCGUUAGCUUGGGUACUAGUAGUGUUUUUUUGUUUCAGUAAAAACUAGUGGUCUCUUUUGUAACUUCCUAUUGAUUCUAAAAUUUUUUCUCUUAUGUAAUAAUAUGUAAAGCAAGUAGAUAAUGUAA
Non-coding RNA from Arachis ipaensis, 699 nucleotides. The record is from RefSeq and is a predicted model, not a curated record. NCBI's taxonomy places the organism in Eukaryota, Viridiplantae, Streptophyta, Magnoliopsida, Fabales, Fabaceae.